UUUUAGUAUUGUCACCUCCUUUGUACCAGUCUUUUAAUGUUUCCAUCACAAAGAAACGGAUAGCUUGAUUGGAUCCUUGCUUCAAGAUUAUCCAGAGGUCAUAAUGGAAAGGAGCGAGCGUAAUUCUCCGUUAAAUCUUGGAAAAAAACACGAGGUGUCAAAGGUCGACGCGGAGGCCUCCGGCCUCCCUCCCCCUGUCCUCCUCCCAACGAGAGUAACUUACCGGCAAUGACCCCCUUGAGGCCCAGGUUGCCGGAGGCGACGGCGGCGGCGGCGACGCCGGUCUCGCUCGUCCACGGCCUGCGUGGAAACGGCGUCGAGAAGCCCCGACAUCCCAGAGUCGCC
This is a long non-coding RNA of Camponotus floridanus (Florida carpenter ant), 345 nucleotides long. RefSeq lists it as uncharacterized. The transcript is spliced from 3 exons. NCBI's taxonomy places the organism in Eukaryota, Metazoa, Arthropoda, Insecta, Hymenoptera, Formicidae. The record is from RefSeq and is a predicted model, not a curated record.